RNAcentral lists this ribosomal RNA (1369 nucleotides) under uncultured bacterium. Its description in RNAcentral is "bacterial SSU rRNA". It matches the Rfam family "Bacterial small subunit ribosomal RNA", at positions 28 to 1381 of the family's 1533-position model. The record is from RNAcentral.
GACGAACGCUGGCGGCGUGCCUAAUACAUGCAAGUAGAACGCUGAAGAGAGGAGCUUGCUCUUCUUGGAUGAGUUGCGAACGGGUGAGUAACGCGUAGGUAACCUGCCUUGUAGCGGGGGAUAACUAUUGGAAACGAUAGCUAAUACCGCAUAACAAUGGAUGACACAUGUCAUUUAUUUGAAAGGGGCAAUUGCUCCACUACAAGAUGGACCUGCGUUGUAUUAGCUAGUAGGUGAGGUAAUGGCUCACCUAGGCGACGAUACAUAGCCGACCUGAGAGGGUGAUCGGCCACACUGGGACUGAGACACGGCCCAGACUCCUACGGGAGGCAGCAGUAGGGAAUCUUCGGCAAUGGGGGCAACCCUGACCGAGCAACGCCGCGUGAGUGAAGAAGGUUUUCGGAUCGUAAAGCUCUGUUGUAAGUCAAGAACGGGUGUGAGAGUGGAAAGUUCACACUGUGACGGUAGCUUACCAGAAAGGGACGGCUAACUACGUGCCAGCAGCCGCGGUAAUACGUAGGUCCCGAGCGUUGUCCGGAUUUAUUGGGCGUAAAGCGAGCGCAGGCGGUUUGAUAAGUCUGAAGUUAAAGGCUGUGGCUCAACCAUAGUUCGCUUUGGAAACUGUCAAACUUGAGUGCAGAAGGGGAGAGUGGAAUUCCAUGUGUAGCGGUGAAAUGCGUAGAUAUAUGGAGGAACACCGGUGGCGAAAGCGGCUCUCUGGUCUGUAACUGACGCUGAGGCUCGAAAGCGUGGGGAGCGAACAGGAUUAGAUACCCUGGUAGUCCACGUCGUAAACGAUGAGUGCUAGGUGUUGGAUCCUUUCCGGGAUUCAGUGCCGCAGCUAACGCAUUAAGCACUCCGCCUGGGGAGUACGACCGCAAGGUUGAAACUCAAAGGAAUUGACGGGGGCCCGCACAAGCGGUGGAGCAUGUGGUUUAAUUCGAAGCAACGCGAAGAACCUUACCAGGUCUUGACAUCCCGAUGCUAUUUCUAGAGAUAGAAAGUUACUUCGGUACAUCGGUGACAGGUGGUGCAUGGUUGUCGUCAGCUCGUGUCGUGAGAUGUUGGGUUAAGUCCCGCAACGAGCGCAACCCCUAUUGUUAGUUGCCAUCAUUCAGUUGGGCACUCUAGCGAGACUGCCGGUAAUAAACCGGAGGAAGGUGGGGAUGACGUCAAAUCAUCAUGCCCCUUAUGACCUGGGCUACACACGUGCUACAAUGGUUGGUACAACGAGUUGCGAGUCGGUGACGGCGAGCUAAUCUCUUAAAGCCAAUCUCAGUUCGGAUUGUAGGCUGCAACUCGCCUACAUGAAGUCGGAAUCGCUAGUAAUCGCGGAUCAGCACGCCGCGGUGAAUACGUUCCCGGGCCU